AGGCACGGGGCAAUCAAAGAGCAGAUGCCGAGGCUAAAAGAGCAGCAAAAAGUGCUGCGCCACCCCACAUUCUGCAUAUAAGCCUACCACCCCCGGGCAUAGGACAGAUACCUCCUCUGCCAGACUACUCCAGCACAGAUAAAGCCUGGGCUACAAAACAGCUAAAUGUGCAAAAAGACGAAGAACGCCGCCUGAUAGUGCCAGAGACUUUGGGACGUCACCUGUUAACGCACCUACACCAGACCACACAUUUAAAAAAAAAAAAAUGCUACAACUAUUAAACACCGCCCAGCUUAGGUUCAUGUCACAGAGACGAGUGGCGAGCGACAUCGUCCGGGACUGCCAAGCCUGUCAAGUCAUACAGCCGGGGAGGGCCAAAGGGACCCACGCAGGUGGAUGGAAUAUCAACCUGGAUACACCACUCCCACGUGAGGUCGGCUAGCAAGAGCGACCAAGAGCAGUGCCAGAGCCAGUGGAAGGCAACGGUGGAUCCAGAGAACCCCCUAAAGACCAGGCUGACCCGAGUGACACCAGCAUAGAUGAACUUAGUGACUCCAGUCCUCUUUGGAGUACUGGUCAUACUAGUUGGAGUCGGACUUGGGACUGUAGCACCUAGAGGUUGGACUCCGUCACAGAGAUGCAUGCUAGGCUUGUUUUAUAUCUUUUAUGUGGGUGCUUUGGGGUUACUUUGCUUGUGGGCAGGAGUGUGGCAGCCGUGAUAAAUAGCAAUCCCCACCAACCUCAUAACCUCACAUGAGAGAUUGCCAAUCAGGAGACUCAUAAAGUCUAAAAUGUGACUUCAGGGGUAGGCCCCAUAAACGGAUGAUGGCCAGACCUUAUGUUUAACCUAAAAAAAAUAAGCCCCAUCAGCGUGAGUGAGCCCCCAGGGGCGCCCGGCCCUCGGCCAAGUGGGAUUGUGUCACCACAGGCAGUAGGGCCCAACCAGGUGCUGCACCCACGGCCGGCCACGGUGCACCCCAAACCAGUGAUAAAGUUAGGGACAAACUCACUCACCCUAGGGAGCCCCAUAAGCACGGUGCCUAAAGUAAAACUUAGAGAUCCUCUGUAAAAGAUGUUGACAGCUGCAUACAAAGCAGUAAAAAUGGCCGUCAAUUUCAACCUCUCCACAGAAGCCUCCCCUAGGUCAUGUCAAUGGGACCGUAAAGGCCCUGGUCUCACUUUUCAGUCAGUUCUUGGCAAGGGGACCUGCCUGGGAACAGUGCCACCCAGCCAUGCACAGCUCUGUGCCGGGGGUAACAGUAAUAAAUCAAUCAAAAAAAAAAAAAUGGGUCAUUCCCGGGCCAAGUGGAUGGUGGAUUUGCUCCAAAACCAGUUUAACCCCUUGCCUUAGCCUAUCAGUUUUUAAUAAAUCUAAAAAUACUGUGUUAUGGUGUUAGUGUUCCCUAAAAUAAUAUACCAUACAGUAGAGACCAUAUACACCAGCAGAGCAGGCCAAGGGGUCACUAACCUAAUUUUCCAAAAAAAAAAAAAAACCCUUGCAGCCAUUACCCUAGCCACACUUUUUGGCUUGGGGGCAAUAGGAGCAGGGACUGGUAUCUCCUCCCUAGCGAUGCAACAGAGAGGGUUCAGCACCUUGAGAGCAGCCAUUGAU
Non-coding RNA from Microcebus murinus (gray mouse lemur), 1612 nucleotides. Lineage: Eukaryota; Metazoa; Chordata; Mammalia; Primates; Cheirogaleidae. The record is from RefSeq and is a predicted model, not a curated record.